GGUGAGCUGGCUCAGUGGUUCAGAGUGCCGACUGCUCUUCCAAAGGUCCUGAGUUCAAAUCCCAGCAUCCACA
Molecule: transfer RNA, 73 nt
Filed under: Mus musculus (house mouse)
Lineage: Eukaryota; Metazoa; Chordata; Mammalia; Rodentia; Muridae
Description: tRNA-Ser
Source: RNAcentral